AGCCUCUCGGACGUGAAGGAAAAGAAUUGGUUGGCUCCAAAGUUGCACCUCUUUAUCCAUGUUUCAACGCCCGUAGCUCUUACCAACGAUACUCCACUAUCUAUCCCUAAAGAAAGCUUUAUUAAGCGGAGGAAGAAGAAAAAACAAUGGUGUCAUCCUUACUUUCGCCUUUCCCCAACGUCAUUUCACAGCUUAACCUCGUCUCUCGCUCCUCUCCUCCUUUCUUUACCAGGGCCCAAAUGUCAUCCGAAUCGCUUCCACCACUUCCUGAACAUCGCAUCGUCCUAGGGUGUGGGUCUGUCGGAGUGGAUUUCUUGGCCUCCGUCUCUUCUUAUCCUAAACCUGAUGACAAAAUCCGAAGCACUAGCUUAAAGGUUCAGGGAGGUGGGAAUGCUGGAAAUGCCUUAACUUGUGUUGCUCGUUUAGGAUUAAAUCCACGACUAAUUUCUAAGGUUGCCAAUGAUGCCCAAGGCAAGAGUAUAUUGGAGGAGCUUGAAUCUGAUGGAGUCGACACUUCAUUCUUUAUUGUUUCUGAGGAGGGGAAUUCGCCAUUUACUUAUAUAAUUGUUGACAACGAAACGAAAACUCGCACCUGUAUUCACACCCCUGGUUAUCCACCCUUGAUACCAGAUGAACUCUCACAGUCCCAAUUAUUAUCUGCUUUGGAUGGAGCAAAUAUGGUCUAUUUUGAUGGAAGACUGUACGAAACUGCUUUAAUUAUUGCAAAAGAGGCAGCUUGCAAAAAUAUUCCAAUAUUAGUCGAUGCAGAAAGGGAAAGGGAAGGUUUAGAUGAUCUUCUGAAUUUUGCUAGUUAUGCUAUAUGCUCAGCAAGAUUUCCGCAGGCGUGGACAAAGGCUCCAUCUCUUCCAAGUGCACUUCUUUCUAUGCUUCUGAGAUUGCCAAACUUAAAAUUUGUGAUUGUGACACUGGGUGAAGAUGGAUGCAUAAUGCUCGAAAGAAGUGUAAAUGGUGGUUCCGAUGCUGAAGAAAUUGAUAUUCACGGUUUAUUGGAAUCACUAAAGCAGAGAAAAGAUGAAAGCAAGACCAUACCAACAUGUAUCUCAUCGGUGGUUACCAAAUUGAGUGCAAAUGGGAUAGGAACAGUAUUUGGUCGGCUAUUUAUUGGAACAGCUGAAAAGAUUCCACCAUCAGAACUUGUUGACACAACCGGCGCCGGAGAUGCAUUUAUUGGAGCAGUAGUUUAUGCUCUCUGUGCGGGCAUGCCACCGGAGAAGAUGUUACCAUUUGCUGCUCAAGUGGCUGCAUCUGGCUGUAGGGCUUUGGGAGCCCGAACGGGUCUUCCACACCGAACAGAUCCACGCUUGGCGACCUUCUUGUGACAUGUCAACUAUGUUAGAGGUUAAGUAAAUUGAAACUUUGCCCUACAACCAAGAGCAUUGAUAUUGCCAUGACAGACUUCUGUCAUGGUCCCAGAGAGGAGUUAUGAAUCUCACAUUGACAGUGUACUAGAGUUUGAUUGAAGACUCACAAAGUGGGAGACACUUUAUGCGAACAAAAUUGUGAGGCUUAAAUGACCGAAUCAGAUAAUUGCUUGUAAUUUGGUGUGAAAGCUAAUUGAAAUUGGGUUUGGGUUAUUAGUGAUGAUAGUGAGGUGUCAUUGGAGUGGGGGAUGUUACGGUCUUAGACAGCAACCAUCAAUCCUCCUACCCCCAUUUGUUGGAAUUACAUUUCAUUUGCAAUAUAAAAAUAUAUUCGCAAAUAUCUGUAAGCAUUUCAAAUUUACCACAAUGCUUGGAAUGAGAAGGAAAGGAUUAAAUUUA
This is an RNA transcript of Gossypium raimondii (Peruvian cotton), 1781 nucleotides long. RefSeq lists it as uncharacterized. The record is from RefSeq and is a predicted model, not a curated record. The transcript is spliced from 14 exons. NCBI's taxonomy places the organism in Eukaryota, Viridiplantae, Streptophyta, Magnoliopsida, Malvales, Malvaceae.